RNAcentral lists this long non-coding RNA (2966 nucleotides) under Amborella trichopoda. RNAcentral describes it as "long non-coding RNA (ATRI_LNC001844)". Lineage: Eukaryota; Viridiplantae; Streptophyta; Magnoliopsida; Amborellales; Amborellaceae. The record is from RNAcentral.
UUUUGGAAACAGGUGGGGAAGAGAGCAGCCCUUACCCAUGAAUAACAGAGGACCAAACAGUUCCUAGAUCAGGAUUAUUUGUUAAAAGAUUGCCAGUCCAAACUAUACAAUCUCUUACAUUUGCACCAGUGAGAGGGAAGGAUGGUUGUUUUAUAAUCCUAACCACUACCACAUGGAAAUUCUUAACAGGUUUGCUUUACUCUUCUCAAUUCUCAUGGUAGGUAUACUACUACGGAGUAUCGGCACAAAUAUGAUGCUUGAACUUGUAACAAAUGGAAUCAAACAAAUCAUCAUCGUCAAAGCUUUUUCCCAAUUAAUUGGGGUUGGUAAAUGAAACUUCUCGAUAUCAACACAAUCAAGCAACAAUGCAUAAUAGGAUAGUGUAUUUACUUAUAAGAAAAUUAUUGAUAACGAAAUUUAUCAAACCACACAAAAUUCAUUAUUUAGCAUUUCACCACUCUAGUCGUCCUGCUUUAAAUAUGUCCAAGAAAGUGUGCAUCAUGUACACAAGGGGACACGUACUGAUGGAAGGGCAAUGUUUAAAUUGGAAAAUUUAUGUCCGUAGUGUAUUAAAGUACGGUAAUUAUGUGGAGGUCCAAAAUUUGUCAAAGUUUAUGAGGAGGUCCACCAGUCGUCCAGUCCGAUGUUUUGUCUUGGUUUUUUAUUUUUUAUUUAUCAAACAUCGGACUACUAUUUUUUUCUUGCUUUUUUAUUUUUUCCAAUUUUGUUUUGGUCUAAUGUUCUAAACAUUAGCUAUUUUUUUUAGUUUUUUGUUUUUUUUGAAACUUUGGGACCAAUCCAAGGUUCGAUAUCUUGAAACGCUUUGCUUGCAUGAACAUUGUGGAAGCCAAGUGGUCCGGGGUUUGGAACCUCGGAUCAACUCUUGGACUGUGAAAUUUGUAGUCUAGGCACUGGUUUGAGGUCUAGAACCUUGGACCGCUUGGUUUCCACAAUAUUCAUAGAAGCCAAGUGGUUCCUAGUCUAGAAGCUCAAACCACUCCGUGCACUGAAAAAGAAGUAGGAGAAUUUUUGUGAUUUAUCUAACAAGACGUACUACCAAUUGAGAAAAUUCUAUACUCUUGAGUGGUAAAACCAUAUCUAGGAGUAUUUUUUGUGACUUGAGAAUUUGGGAAUGUAUCAUAGAGACUAACCUGAUAAUUUUAAAUAAGAUUUUAGGAAUGUAUCAUCUUUAUCAGAGACUAACCUGAUGAAUUCAAAUCAGAUUUUAGGAAUGUAUCAUCUCUAUCAAAGACUAACCUGAUAAAUUCAAAUCACACUUUGUAGGUGCCUGAAAAAAAUAAUGUCCCAAUUAUUGAAAAGAGAUUGUCCAAUCUUUGAUCGUGAGACCUAAGUGUUAAAAAGCACAAAAUUCAAUAUUCUUAAGUGGAUCUCAAAAUUUUAGACUGAAAAAAAAUCCUUCUAGAUGGGUCUUUUGCCCAUGGGAGCAAGUAUAUAGUAUAUGCUCAAUGACCAAAAUCUCCUCAUUUGUUUGGAUCCCAAAGCCAAAAAUAGAGAUCCAAAUAAAAAAACACAUGUUUCUCAGGUUUAGAACCGAUUAGGAGAAACUGUUUUUCCAUUUGGAUUAGGCCACUUUAAGCUGAGCCAGCCCAUUAUGGGUUCUCUACUCUGCACAAGAGAUUUUAAUGAAAACAUAGGUUUUAAUUUGGAACAAAUUGGUAUUUACAUCCCUUGACAAUUGAUCUAGGCUACAUAAAUGGUUCCUAAUUGUCAAAAUAUCUCUUGCUUAUUCAGAAUUUUAAACCCUGAUUAGACAUACUUUUAAGGUGGGUGUGGUUUCCAUAAGGUUGCAAUCUUAAACAAUCCAAUUAAGGUGCACCUCCAAAUUUUAUUAUAACAUAUAAUUUUGAUGUAAAAUAUUAUUAGGAUUAUCUCAAAAUCUAUUUUCAUAUUUAAUUGUAAAAUUUUAAACUCCAAAAAUAGUUAAAAUCAAGUAGAUCUAUAAACAUAUGGAAAUCUUGAAAAUGUACGAUCUAGAUAAAGUGUUGUAAGAUGUACUAUUUUUAAGACUCAAAAUUCUUUUAAUUUUCAUAGCCAUAUUUCUCGAUGUCAAGGUGAUCAAUUAGAGUGUUUUUCAACAUUAAAACAACAUUUUCUGAUAGAUUUUUGAGGUGCAUUGUAGUUCUACAUUUUAAGGUUGUAUAAACUUUUUCCUUUAUAAAAAGAAAAAAAUUUAUAUAAGGGCGAGACUCUAAACAAUUGCAUUAAGGCACACCUAAAAAAUCAACUAAAAAAUGUUAUUUUGAUGCCCAAAAAGUUUCAAAUGAAUUAUCUCAACCUCAAGAUGUAUGGACAUGGGAAAAAAAAUAGAUUUCAAGUCUUAGAAAUAGUCCAUCUUGUAAUGUAUUUUUGAACCGUCAAUUUUCAAGAGUUUUCAAGUGUUCAGAGAUUUGCUUGAUCUAUACUAUUUUUUAAAGUUUAAAAUUCUAUAUCUAGGUAUAAAAUAAAGUUUCAAGCCAUAACAAAGAUUUCUAGUACCGGAAAAUAUAUUCUAAUACUAUUUAAAGAUGCACGUUACUUUGAUUAUUUGGGGCCUCAGCCCUAUACAAACCACACCCUUCUAAAAAAUAAAAUAAAAGAUGUAUUCUAACACUAUUUAAAGGUGGGCCUUACUUUGAUUAUUUGGGGCCUCAGCCCUAUACAAACCACACCCCUAUAAAAAAAAUAAUAACAGAAGUUGUAUUGGGUGAAAAUAAUUUUUUCUUAAAAAUUGGUUUGUUUGGAUUUUAUGGUUCAGCUAUUUUAAUGAUAUCUUACCUUCAAAUUAUCUCACUUUUCUAUCUUCUUCUGGUUUAGGUAUUGUAAUGAGUGGAAUUUAUAAUGGUGUCUUUGUAGACAAUCCCAGAGAGCGAGACCCCCGAGCUUUCAAGAGAGAACAGGUUAAAAAUUUUCAGAUGCAGAGAGAGACAGAAGCUUCAAGAGGAAAGGGAAAAGGGUAAAACUGANNN